AUUGAACGCUGGCGGAAUGCUUUACACAUGCAAGUCGAGCGGCAGCGCGGGGCAACCUGGCGGCGAGCGGCGAACAGGUGAGUAACACAUCGGAACGUACCCAGUCGUGGGGGAUAACACAUCGAAAGAUGUGCUAAUACCGCAUACGACCUGAGGGUGAAAGGGGGGGAUCGCAAGACCUCUCGCGAUUGGAGCGGCCGAUGGCGGAUUAGCUAGUUGGUGAGGUAAAGGCUCACCAAGGCGACGAUCCGUAGCUGGUCUGAGAGGACGACCGGCCACACUGGAACUGAGACACGGUCCAGACUCCUACGGGAGGCAGCAGUGGGGAAUUUUGGACAAUGGGGGCAACCCUGAUCCAGCCAUUCCGCGUGUGCGAUGAAGGCCUUCGGGUUGUAAAGCACUUUUGGCAGGAAAGAAAUCGCACGGAUUAAUACUCUGUGUGGAUGACGGUACCUGCAGAAUAAGCACCGGCUAACUACGUGCCAGCCGCCGCAGUAA
This 498-nucleotide ribosomal RNA is filed under the name uncultured bacterium. RNAcentral describes it as "partial 16S ribosomal RNA". It matches the Rfam family "Bacterial small subunit ribosomal RNA", at positions 29 to 523 of the family's 1533-position model. The record is from RNAcentral.